Molecule: long non-coding RNA, 29870 nt
Filed under: Cucumis sativus (cucumber)
Lineage: Eukaryota; Viridiplantae; Streptophyta; Magnoliopsida; Cucurbitales; Cucurbitaceae
Description: long non-coding RNA (CSAT_LNC000464)
Source: RNAcentral
GUGUGCGUCACAGAAAUAGGUGACUUUAAAAGAGUGAAGAAACUCUUAUCUUUCAAUGUCGGUUAUUUGGAUGAGAAGGAUGUAUUUUGGAUUGUAAUUGUUGAUACUAAAGCGUCUUGUGUGCAAGACGUGGCAAAGUUUGCUGUGGCAAAGCAUAAUGAAGACGAACAUGAUAGUCUUGUCUACCUUUCUAUCACUAAAGGUUGGUAUCGAGAACUUGACCCGUAUAAUGCUAUAUUCUUCGAAAUUCAUCUUACGACGAAGGAUUGUUUUGGACGAGUGCGUGAGUUUAAGGCUUUGGUUCUAGAAGACAAACCUCAAAAGGAGAAAAUCCGAACACUCAAAUAUUUCGAAGUUAUAAAGAAAUGUUGAAAACUUGCUAUCUAUAUGUAAGUGAGAGUGGUUAUGUUAUGUGUUAUGUCUAUGUUCUUGACUAUAUAUCCAUAAAUGAAUAGUCAAGUUUAAACUAAAUAAAACGUUUUAAAUUAUAUGUCACUCUUUAUGCCAAAUUUUAUUAAGGAAGUUGUUUAUAUUAUAACCUAUUAGUUAUUGGGAAUUUAUACGAGAUAUAAAUAAAGUCACUUCAUUAAAAUGAAAAUGUAAUAGAUCGAUGGUAAUAAGAAAUGUGUGGGGUGCCAUUUGAUUGCUUUUAGCAUUGUUUACUUAUGUUCUAUGAUCGUAUUGACACAUGAGGUCACUUCCAACUUAUAAUCAACAAAUGCAAAUUGAUUCACAAAUUAAAGGCAUUCAGUUCAAUUGCACCUAGUAAUUAAGUUGUAUAUUUGUUACUGUGUUUCGGUUACAACUACCAUUAUUGUUAUUGUUUCAGCUGAAAAAUUAUCAAUUUGACAUUUUAAUAUUGUCGUUAUUGUAAUCGCUUUGGAAACCUUAUCCUUUGAAUUCCUAAGUCGUAUAAGAAGUUAAGUAGAGGUUGUUGUUGAUGUGUUGUGUUGUUAACGUAGCUUAAUUGAAGGAUUAAAGGCUUGUUUGAAAUUCAACUAAGUGUUUGGGAGCUAGGGUAACCAACUUAGGUGUUAUGAGAACCUUCAAGAGUAUGAUGACCAAUAGUAGUUUAAGUGGCCAAGUAGAAGAGCCCUGGUGUGAAACUCCGAUCUGCAAAACAACAAGAAUGCAGGAAGUAGUGUAGAUAGGACACAAUUUAGCUUAAAACCUUGCAAUUGAUCUUAUCACCUAACUCAAACUCAACCCCUUUUAAACUACCAAGUGAAAAACAUAACGUAAUGGAAGUCAACAUAAACGUCAAGUACAAUAAUUAACAUAACCAAAACUUACGCUUAUUUAGAAUGAUUUUGACCACAUGGUUAUAUUGGUACAAUAUGUAGUUUAUUGAAAAUGGACUUGAAGGAGAUGCUGAUUCUGGCGGUGAAGAAGAUGAACCGGAGGACACUGAUGGUGUGAAAGUGGAACAUCUCUACACAUUUCAGAUUAUCAAGGUUUUGCACUAAUAACCGAUUGAUUUACUAUAGUGAUGAAGCUACCAAGCAAGUGAUUGAUGUUUGAUUCGUGACAAGACUUGUUGCAAUUUAGUUAUCUAUGACAAUACAUUGCAUUUAGUUUCUUUGUAAAAAUAUAUUACCAAUGUUUAGUUUCUAUUUCACUUGUAUUUAUCCCUUUGGGAAAAUUCGAUAGAUUUAGUGUACUUAGUUUUUUUGUAAAUAUGUUAUCUAUGUUAUUUUUAUAUAUGAAAGUUCUUAUUUAUAUGUGUACUAGUUUUGUGUUAAAAUGGAAUCAUUGGAUAACAGGAAAAAAAUCUAAUUGAAUUACAAUUUUUUUUAUAAAAAAAAUUCAUAACAUAUUUGACGGUUAUAAAAUGUCAUAAACAAGUCCAUCCUUGACGGUUUUUCAAUGUCAUAAACAAUCAAUUUCUUGACGGUUAUUAAAUGUCAUGAAUACUUAUACUCUUGACGAUUUUAAGUUGUCAUAAACAUUCACACUCUUGACGGUUUUUACCUGUCAUGAACAUUUGUAUACUUGACAUUUAUAAAACGUCAACGUUCAAUAUUCUUGACGUUUUUAUCAACCGAUAAGAACUUUGGCUUUCUUGACACUGGCUUCAAGGACGGUUAUAUUAAUUUGAUUCAUGAUAAAAUUAUUGGUUAUGAGAGAAAUUUGUAUUUGAAUAUGAUUCAAAUUUAACUUAUCUUAAAUAUAAGAUAUUUAAUUUAGUUGUUAAUUAAUUAGAGAAUUAGUUAAUAGUUUAUUUUAAUAUUAUUUAAUUAAAUUAAUAUAAAACUAUAAGAUAUUAUUGAAAGAUAUUCAUUAAAUAAGAUUUAAAUAAAAUAUUAAUUAAAUAUGAUUUAAUUAAUUAUUAACUAAUUGAUUACUUGUUAAUUAAUUAGUUGAUUUGAAAUUUAUGCUAAUUUAAUAUUUUUUAAAUUAAUAGAAUCUCAUGAUUCUCUUCGACUCUCUUUCCUUAGAUACAAUUUUCUUUAACAAUUCAAUCAACCAAAAUAAAACUAAUAAUUUUGUUUUUCCACAAAAGAGUUUCUCUAAAAAAAUCUCCAAACUUUUUUCCAUCCGAAUUGGUUCCCCACAAACCAAUCUCAUCUCAAAAAAUACGGAGGUGUCCGAAACCAAUCUCAUCUCAAAAAAUAGGGAGGUGUCCGAUGGGUGAUGUCCCAAUUUUGUGAUUUAUUUUGUAGAUUCAGAGAUGUUAACACAAGUAAGUUUUUCUUUCUCUAAUCUAUAAUUAGAAAACAUGCUUAGCCGUUAAGUCUUAAUAAGAAAAUUUGUUUUUAUUGUAUUUUGUCAUUCUACUAGUAUUUUGGGAUUUCCAAAUUAAAUUGAGAAAUGAUUCUAAAAUCUUUCACUGCCAAUGACUUUUAUCCCUUCAACGAUGGCCUGAGAAACAAUCUCUAAAUUUUCUGUCUUUCAUCCUACCCAGCAAGCAUCAAGAUGCUCAUGCCUUUGUUCUGGGCCUAAUCUUUGUUUUCCAUCUCCCCGAAGAUUACUCAACUUAGUAAGAAAAUAGGAUAGAAGAUACAGCUAUUACAUUCUUCCGCUCUUUGCUUACUUUGCUUGCUUAGCUUUUCUUAGAUCACAAAUGAGGAUCAUGCCUCUUAUUUAUAGGCAUAAAAUCCUUGGAGCCUAAUGUGUCACACUUCAUCCCGAACAUAUCCUAACAAAGCGAUACACAGUGUGACUUGAGUAUUCAUGACUUGUUUAAACAAAAGAAACCUCAACCUAGGUUCUUAAGCUUAGCUCAAAUGCCUGAUCACUGAGCACUUACACUUAUUUUCACAUUUGUAAGUGAUAUUAUAACAUUAUAACACAACGAAUAAGAGAUAAAAAAACAACUCCAUUUCAUUAACUUUCAAUUAUGUGAUCUACAUUACACUUUACAUACAUUGAAGCACAUGUAUAAAACUUAAUUUAAAUGCUCUAGGAUAGCCUUCUGGCCUAGUUAGCCUCUUAAGCCCUUCUUACUCUAAGAUGAACGCCUAAUCACCUGGGAAGUGGAAAAUCUUAAAACAUAAGUCAAAAGACUUAGUGAAUGAAGUUUUAAAAAAACCUUUUCGAAACAUGUUACAUAAAUCAUAACUAUUUCAAUCGUAUAAUACAUAAUACACAUUAGUCUUGUGUCUCUUUCGUCGGAAACAUGAACCAUUCCCUAAGUUAAGACCCAGCAUCUUAAUUCAUUCAUCAUUGCUCAGGUCGCCUAACACAAUACACAUCUUUUAUACAUUGGCUAGCUUCACUCUAUCCGUAGUCCCUUUUUACAUCACUGCAUUACUUCUUAUGUGCACAUAGUUAGCUCUUUGAUAGGAUUAAAACUAAUGCUUUGAAAAUAUUCUUUCACAUUCGUUGAAACACAAAACAUUGCUUUUAAAACAUAAGCUUUCAUUUAAAUUUAUUUAUAAGUACUCAUUACAAACAUGAAUUCAAAAGAAAGCUUUAAGUUUACAAACAUUUACAAAUAUCACUCACUCACAAAAUUCAGUUGCCUUAAAUCCAGAUUGCUUCUACACUUCUUCUUCUUGCGUAGUCCUUCAACAACAACUUCAACACUUAGUUUUUCUUUUUCAAACUUUUAGAAUAACUUCCUUCUUCUAAUUCCUUCCUCUAUUUAUAAUAAUCCUAAUUUCGAUUAGUCAUCCUUAAGGUUCCUAAAAUAUGGCCAGCUUCUACUUGCUUAAAGUAUUAUACGUGUAAGCUUAGUAUUUCACUCAAUCUUACUUAACUUCAGCUUAACACGUAACCCUUGUCAAAUCAAAUUGAUAUUUUCUCGCUUGCCUUUUCUCGCAAAGAACUCUACUCGCCUAACUGCCUUUUAAUCGCCAAAGUCCUUAUCAUGUUGCCUUCAUUACGGAAUAAGACUUAAACACCUAAACGUCAGUUUUCAAAAUAUAAACUUCUUCAAAAUGCCUUCUCUCAAUAUUUAGUAAAAAAUUUGACACUUCAAAUAUAAACUUGGGUCUCACACAAUGUAAAGCCAUGAUCCAAAGAAAAGGGGUUGUGUUAAAGAGGAGUUAUGUUAAAAAGAGACAUUUUGGCUAAGCGUAAAUAAUAAGCAAUCUGUGAUCAAGGAUGCCUUCAAGGAAAGGUGAUGCAAGGAGAGAUGCUUACAGUCACUGUUGCGUCGAAGCGAGGUGACGCGAUAUGAUUAGCUGGCGAGGAAGAAGCAUGCAUUUAAUGCAAAGAACUAGACAACAACACGGGAAUAAGUACCUAUGCCUAAAGUGUUGAUGCAAUGAAUUAAGUGUUUCAUUGAAAGGAUGGAUGUUCGUAUGAGGCGACUAGACGACUAUCUGAGGGAAAGUAAAUGUUCUAUUAUUUUUCAAGAAGGGAGUCAGAUGAAAAAGAAUUGAGCAUUCCAAAAAGAUAAGGUUAGCGUUUCAAGAGAAAUAUCUAAUUGCGAGUAACAAUUGGCAACGUGUUGAAAUUAUGUUGGUUGUAUAGCUUGAUGAGUUAUAGCUUGACACAUGUAAAGCGUGGAAAUGACCCAUGAGUUUGAAAGGUCGCUAUAAAUAGGACCAAAGAGGUCGGAAGAAAGAGGGGCAUAAGAUGCUAAACAUUAUGAUUAAUUGUUAAGAGAAAGUGUCGAGUGUUGAAAGGUCGAUUAAGGGAAUCACUAGGCAAGACGAGAAAGCCAAAAGUAAGAAAAGGAAAGAGUUUAGGCUAAGUAUUUCUGUGAGUGAUCCUUUUAAAUGAAAGAAAUAUUUUGUGAAUGAUUGCUCUUUUUAAUCUUAUGUUUGACGAUUAACAUUUGAUAAUGAUACUAAUGUGAUGUGAUGUGUUGUAUGUAAUGCUUUUGAGAUAAUGCUUCUUAUCUUAUUGGCUGUAAUGAUUGAAUGAUGUAUUGGUGGAAGUGAAUCCCAGGUCUAGGGCAAAUAAAUGUUGAUGAAAGUGAAUCCCAAGUCUGAGCGAGAAAUGAAUUUUGUUCUUCAUAGUUGGGUGCUGGUGAAAGUGAAUCGUAGAUCUAGGUGAGGUUGUAUCAUGAGACACUGGUGGAAGUGAAUUCCAGGUCUAGGGGAUGGUCUCAGGUUUGAGUGUAGAACGAUCAUUGUGAGACACUGGUAGAAAUUUCAAGUUUAUCACGAGACACUAGUGAAGUGAAUCCCAGGUUCAGGGGAUUGGAUGUGGAUUGAAGAAUCUCAGGUCCCGAUGAUAAAUGAUGAACAUGCUGAUGAAUGAAAUGUAUGGAAUUGCGUUCUUAAGAAUAAGAUUGUUAUUAUUGAAAAUGUUGUUUUCCCUAAAAAUGUAUUUUCUCUAAACUCAUCACUCACUAACUUUGUUACUUAUAUUUUAAGUUUUUCUUCCCCAGGUUGUCAGGCGUUGAAGCUAAGUAAAGAAUGGAUGUCAGGUGUAGAAGCCAAGUAAAGGAGGAAAGGUGGGAUGUUAUGUAAACUUGCACGGUGAGAAAGGUGGUCCUCUGUGUACAUGAAUCUUCGAUUAUUGUUUUCGUUUCACAAAUAUUCUUAGAAAGUAAUAUCGGUAUCAUUUUUCAUCCUUGUUUCUUGAAUUUAUUCUUUUAAGUUCCAAUACAAAGAUAUAUUGCCCCAAAAAAAAGGUAUAUAAAAGAUGAUGAAAUGUGAAUUACCUUUUUUUUAUCUUUAUUAUAAAGAAUUUGGUGGAUCUUUGAUUCAUAGGUAACGUCUCCAAACUACUUUACAAGUUAUGAAGAUCCUCCAUUUAUACUCCUGAUUUCAGAAUGCUCCCACUUGUAAAGUAGUUUGGAUACCUUCUGUGGAAAGCUUUUUAUGCUAUUGUCUAGGGUCUUUAGGGAGAAAAACAAUAGAAUUUUCAAAGGAGCCGAGAGACCUUUGUGUGAGGUGUGGUGUCUUGUGAGAUAUCAUGCCUUUUUUUUUUUGUGUUUUCGUUUAUAAGGAAAUUAUCUUGUAAAUACCUUACCACCACCACCUUCUUGAUUUAAGAUAUUUGCAUUGGUACAUACAUAUGUAACAGAGAAAAACAAUUGCAAUAAGUGAUCGUGGUUCUUAUUUUAAUUACACUUUUUCUUACUUUUAUAUUUUUAAAGACAAAAGAAAAGAAUAAAUGGAAUUUGUUGUUGCAUACUUGUUUUGUACCUUCUUUAAUUUUUUUUUUCUCCUUUUCAACUGUUGUCUUUAUCUUGAGUACUAAGAUAGAAAUAUGAAAUCGUGCUUCAAUUUAGAAGUACUUGAGCCUGUAUUAAUAGCAAAUUGUGGUGCAGCUGACCGUUGUUUUCAUGGUAAUGGUAAUUUCUAUGCAAGAGUUGUACACCAUUUUCUCAUUAGUAAAUGCUCAUGUUGUUAGAUUGUUAGAUUCUUUGUUAGGAAUUUGGAGUAAGGUAAAUGGCCCUAUUUAUUCUCUUUCUAUUGGGUUAAUGAUUCUUCACAUGAUUGAAUGGGUGACCUCUGGUUUGAUUAAUCUUCAUUCUUUUGAGAAAUUAGAUGUUGUUAGCCAUGCGACUUUAACGUCUUCAUAGGAAAGUUAUGCUUCAUUUUUGUUGUUGUAAUGUCUGCAGCUAGAAUAUUGAGGUCUUUUAAUACUUACAAAGGUUUAUUAAGUAUUUUUAACUACGUUUCUUUGAAACUUACCAACUAGUGUAACUAUGUUUUUUAAGCUUGUGGUCAUAUGUCGAUUUCUUAAUGUCAAUGAUAUUUUGUUGUUAUCCAAGAAGAGAACUCAAACCUUUUAUUUGAUAAUUUUGUUUGGUUUCUAGCAUUUUGUACUACUUUGCUAUUUAGUUAAUGGUUGAGAUUUUUUUAUACGCUAAAGUAAUUGUUUCACCAUGUGCUAACAACUUUUUUCUCAACGACAUUCCUUUAUGAAGUUUCCCUCCGUAAGAUGCAUGAAAAGUCCAAGAGUGAGGUAUUGUUUAGCUUGCCUAGUUUCACUUAUUGAGCAGGUAACAAGUUUUUUUUUUUUUUUAUGCCUUGACGAUUUUGAAUUAUUUUGCAUUGAAAUAAUUUUUUUUUCUAUUAACAUUUAUUUAGUUCAUCGUUGGAGAUGAUGAAUUUUCUUAUUGUCCCAAUCUUUUGGUCUCUUUUAUGUCCAAAAAUGAUCUUUUAUUCUCUUUCGACAUCUGUUUAAACUUACUUUCUAGUUUAUUCCUCUCUGAUGAUUUUCAUUUGUUGUUUGCUCCUUUUUUAUAGACAAGAUAUCUUCAUUUCCGAAACUGACCUGUCGAAUGGGGGUGGUGCCAGGAUCUCCAGUUUUUUAUAUUUGUAUUUGAGAGACAUAAAAUGUGAAUUUAGUAUCAUUUGCUUUUUUGUGAAUUGAUUAAUGAGAUAUUGAUGGUGUUGCAUUUGAGUGCACAAUUUACUAACUUGCUCCUUUGUCCACUAGCUCUUGGGUCAACCCAUAUAUUUUGUGUGUGCCAUUUUCACUGUUUUUUAUUAAUGGCUGAAAUUUCAUACUUUUUGCUUUUAGUGUACUUGUAAAUUGUUUCAAACUUGAUUGAAAAUGUUAUAAUUAAAGUUAUGGUUGUUGUUCUCUUUUGUUGUUUGUCAUUUCACUGUAUCUUAAUUAGCUUUAAAUAGAACACUCUUUAGUCAUACUCUAAAAUGAUAUUUUUUUUUCUUACUAGGUUUGGAAGAAUCCAUUGGAGCAGUGAAGCCAACAAGGAGAAAUGGAUUGAUAUAGGAUUUUUUAUAUGGUUGGUAGAAAAAUAUUGGUUCUAAUGUAUUGAUUUUAGGCUUGUUGGUAGCUAAAGAUGUCAAUGUUAUUUUUUUGUAUGUAAACUACCUUUUAACAAAAAAAAUGGUUAUUAGUCAAUGGGUGUACGAAUAUUACAAAGUGUAUUACAACAUUUAUAUAUAUUAAAGUGUCGACUUUUUGUUUCCUAUAUGGGUGUGAUGUAUUAAAACAUUAUUGUCAUUGAAAUGGUUAAUGUAAUGACAGAGCGGCAAGAAGAACAGAAAAAAAAAUUAGUAAUUAAGGAAUAUACGACAGGAAAAAAUGUCAUAAUAUACGAAUUUGUGACAUUUUCUAAUUGUUGUCAAUAUUAAAACAACGACAAUUUAAUUUUAUAAAAAACUGUCACGAUUGACCUAUCUUUGACAGAGAAAAAUGUCAUAAUAUACGAAUUCAUGACAUUUUGUAACUGUUGUCAAUAGCAAAACAAUUACAUUUGCUUUUAUAAAAAAAAAUUGUCACGAUUGGCAUAUCCUUGCAGAUAAAAAAUGUCAUAAUAAAUGAAUUUACGACAUUUUUUUAAUUGUUGUUAAUAUGCAAAUGAUGACAAUUAUUUAUUGUCAUAAAAUAAAAUAUGACAAUUAUUUGUUGUCAUAAAAUAAUAAUCAAUGAUAUUUAUUUUAUGUCAUGAAAAAACUUAUUGUGACAAUUUUUGAAUACUAUCAUGGAAUGACUUUCCACAACAGGCGAUACUAUGACUGUAAGUAACUGUCACGAAUUUUGUUUGCGACAGAAAAUAACUGUCAUCAUAGACCAUUUUUGUUGUAGUGGAUCGUGUCAUCCUGUUUCUUAUUUAAGGAGUUUGUAUGCCAAUUCGUAUACUCCCAAUUGUCGAGGACUGCAUCUCAAUUCUGAAGAGAAGUCGAGUGCAACAUCAUAGUUUUAAAGAAAUACCAAGGACAACAACUUACUUUUGUGUGGUCCAAGACGAUGAGUGGAAGAGCUGAGCCAAAGAUGAAGAGCCUAGAGCUAUCGUUUUAAGUCUUGUGAUUUUAAAAGUUUAAAUUCCAGUUGUACUUUGUUUAAUGAAUUGAGUUAAUAAAGAGAAGAAGUUGUGUCAUUCUGGUGCAUUAUUAUUUGUGCUUAUCAACUAAUAGUUAAAAGCUAUGUUCCAUUAAGUUAUUGGAGGCUAGACGAUAGUGCUAGCUGGUCUAAAAGUUAUCUUUUCACAGUUGCGAUAAGCUUUGAGUGUUUCUAAAGUUCAAAAUAAAAGUUUUUUGAUGAGACAAGUUUAGGAAGUUGUUCCACUCACUAGAUGUUCGAUAUGUCAUCUUGCGACGAGAUACACGAUGAGUGUCUAGGCCGGACGUCCCCAUCUAGUUUCAUGGAGUGGCAUUUAGGGCGAUGUUGAAGCCAAAGAUUUCUCUAAAAUUCUAACUAGUUUAGAUAUAUUUAAUCUCAUCGUAAUUAUCUUAAGGAAUUCAUUCAUUAACCUAAAAAGUUUAGAAUGUUUCUAUAUUUUUUCUUAGAUAUUUAUUUACAUCUUUUAACGUAAUUAUAGAGAGAUCUAAUAAUUUACAUACUAAUUAUAUAUUAUGGAUACUUGGAUACUGUUCUAGAAUAGUUAGUGUUGCUAUAUAGUGUAGUAUUAUUUACUUUAUUUUUUGAGUUUAAUGACAUUGUUGUCCUUGUUCUUAAUUAUUUUUUAUUUCCAUGGUUUUGGAAAUCAUUUGGAAUCUAGAAGUUGAUUAUUUUUCUGAUGCCUAAUAUAAUAUAUGCUAUUCUAAAAAAUUGUGAUUGCUUUUAUUGUUAAACAUAUACAACUCUAGCAUGCUAGAUUCUUUGGUCAAAAGGAGAACACUUGAAUACUUUGAUCAAAUUGAGAGAACUUCGCUGAGUAAUGGGUCAAGUGGAAUAUAUAAAAUUUGUAUCCCCAAGACAUGUAUUAGUUUAGGGUUUUACAAACAAAAACAACAAACUCUUAACCAAAGUUAACUAAUUUAGUUAGAUUUUAAGCUAUAUAACAAACCACUAACAAUAAUUAACAAACUAACUAACAGAAUAGAUAAUCAAACAAUUUUAUAUAACUAGCUAAACAAAUUUAACAAAUAUAUAUAUAUAUAUAUAUAUCCUCAACAAGAGCUGGACUUGUUCAAAUUAACGAGGGUAUAAAAGGUAUUAUAGAUGCCUUUCAGUCAAUUUUUCCUUUUUCCUUCUGCUCAUAUAAUCCCACCACCCCUCUCUCAAAACACACCAUAGAUUGGAGAAAAUUUAUUCAAUGAGAGGCAUAUGGCUGUUGGUGGUUGUGAUCAAUGAAACUCAGGUGUCCAAGGCAGUGAAAUGCGACCCAGGGGAGUUGAGACCAUGUCAUUUGUCCUUCACAAUGUCGAUGGAGCCAUCGUCGGCUUGUUGCAAGAAGGUGCUGCAGCAUAGGACAUGCUAUUGUGAAUAUAGUAAAAAUCCAAAGACUCAACCUUAUUUAAAAUAUGAUGCCACUCAAAGGAUCAUUUCUGAUUGUGGCGUUGCAAUCCCAACUUGCUAAAAUUUCCCAUAUGUUUUGGCUAACAACUUCAUAUGAAGUGAUUAUAUAUGUAUACACUGGUUUUGAAGAGGCCAUAAUUAAUCGCACAUUCUCUUUCUUAUUUAGUAUGUGUUUCAUCGUUGUUUUUAUUCUUCAAACCUAUUAACUUUAAUACUUAAUAGUUACAGAGUUUUAGUAGGUAAUAAUUAAUUAGGUAAGUUCUAAAUUUUAGUAUUAAUAUCAUUUGCUUAUGGCUCUUAACGUGGUUUCUUUUUCUUAAACGUUUUGGCAUACUUUCUUUAGUUUCUAACCUAUUUGUUCUAAUUUAGCUCGUGUUUCAUUUAAGAACUUUCAACUUUGCCACAUUUUUUUUCAUUUAAAUGUUAUAAAAAGUAUCCUUAGUUACCUUUUGCACCAUUUUUUUAAAAAAAAAACACUCAAUUAUUGACGUUUGCUCAACCAAAGUUAAGAAAUAUAUUCUAGUAAACUGGCUGUGUAGAUGUAGAAUUCAUUCUUAAUGAUUUUAGCAAUAAUUUUGAGAUUAGUUUUGAAUAGUUUUGAAUCAAAUACAUGAUAUGUUGGGAUGUAUGUCAUAAGCCUCAGAGUUUAUUAGUUAUUAGGUAUAAUGAUUGAUUAUUUUAUAAAUGCAAUAAUUAGUUGUCCAUUACAGUAAAAUCAUAACCUAAAGGCUCCACCCUAAGAAAAACUACAUACUAUGAAAGUGGCAAGAAAAGAAAAAAAUUCUCACAAAAGCUAAGCUAAAAAUCGCUUUUUAAGACGGAAUUUUUCGGAUUUCACUUUUUCACUUAUAUGGUGUCAUAAAAGAUACAAAAAAAAUAAUUUAUUUAAUUUAUUAAAAUAAAAUUUAUUUUAAAUCAAAAGUUUAUUAAAAUCAUAUUUUUUCCUAAAAUAAAAUAUCUCCAAACCCUUUCUCUACCUCUUCUUCUCUUCUUCUUUGUUUCUUCUUCUUUGUAGAAGAUCCACACGUCGCCCCUCCUUCUCUCUUACGCACGCCGAGAACGACAAGACUUUUUGUCAACGACACGCCUGAAAUCCUCUCUUUCUCUUGCUGAACUCACGGGUGAAUCUCAGCCAUUAGGGUGAAUCUCAACCAUUAUUUCUAUUGUUUGUAUUUAUAAUGGUUCUUUUUAUGGAAAACAUCCCUCAUAGUUUUGCUUUUAUAGGAGAUAUGUGUUUGUUUUGUCUUUCAUCCUAUUUAAUAUUGUUGUUUACGAUCAUUUUUCUAAUUUGAAUCUACAUUUUUUCUUUAUGGUUGACUAUGUGAUGAAGCAUUUUGGUAGCUUACAAUGUGUUUGAUGAAAUGCCUCAAUAAAGCAUUUGAAUUAGAAAAUCAAGGCUAAGGAAGAUUUCAUGACUAUGGGCUGAAGCUUUGAAAAAAAGAAAAUGAAAAAUGAAAUGUGAGAUUUUAAAUUUUGAUGUGUGUAGGGUCUUUUUGUUUGUCUAUGCAUUUCCGUACUUUUGAUUUUUCUAUUGAUCUUUUGUUUAUGGUUGUUAUCGAGGUAUAUCAUAAUUGCAUGAUAUUUAUGAGGUAAGACAUUUGUUAUUAAACCUAAAUGUAUCACCCUAAUUUUGAAAUUCAUAACAAAGUUGCCCCGAUCCCUAGUAUCAUGAACAAAUAAUUAAAAAUUAAAUUGCUAAAAGAUUAAUAUAUAGCAUUUGUUCGGAUUUUUGUAAAAUGAAAAAAUAAUCUUAAUAAGAAACUCUUCUAAAAUAGAUAUAGGUUCAGUACUUUCAAAUGCUACUAAUAAAAUUGUAUUUUUUACAUGACACGUGUUUAAUACUAAUAUAUAUGUGUACUUAAUUAAUUCUAACUCCACCAAAAACAACCUUUUCCUUUUAAAAUCACAAGUAAACUUUAAUCCUCAAUUCUUUUUAAUUAACCCAUUUUUUCUAAUAAAUUAGUUAUUUUAAAAUUUCAUAAAUUCCAACAUCAAUUAUCUUAACCCAAUAAUUCAAUUCAUGUUCCAAUCUUUAGAUAGCACCCAAGCAAUUUAAGAUAAUUAGUAAAAUAUUUCCUUAAAGGUUUGGGAUGCUACAUUUCUUUUUCCAAUAACUAUAUUCCAAUAUGUAAUUAUCAAUUUUUCUUUAAAUAAAUCAUAUUCAUUAUCUUUUCUGAUUUACCGAAUAAGGAUGUUUUAUUAAAAUAAGUUUGUUUAGAAAAUUUAUUUGAAAAACAUUACUGUUUUGAAACCAUUUAGAAAAAUAGUAAACUUUUAAAAAUAAAAAUUACAAAAAACAAAGAAGGUGACACUUGGCAAAUUAAAAAAAGCAAAUUGAAGGAGUGGGAGAGUCUGUUUUAAUUUUUAAUUAUUAUAUAUAUGUUUUAAAAAAAUUUAAUGGUUUAAUUUUAAAAAAAAUGUAAAUGUAAAUUUUUUAUUAUUAUAUACAUGUUUUAAAAGCUUAAUUGUUUAAUUUUGAAACAAAAAUGUAAAUUUUAAUUUUUAAUUAAAAAUGAUUAUAUAUAUUUUUAUUGUAAAUAUAAUUAUAUAGAUAUUCAUAUAAUCAACAAUGUGUUACCAAUCUUUCUAUAACUCUCCCUUUAUUUCAUGUUGUAACGUUCAUCCCAUUAAAUUCUACGUUCUAUAAAUAGAGGUAUGUGGUGCUUUUGCAAGAUACACCACAAUUGAGUUCAAUUGUUUUCUACUUCCUCUCUUAUUCCUUCUCUUCUUCUUUCUCUUCUUUAAGUUGUUUCAUGGUUCUUGUUUAGCCUCUUUAUUUUUUAUUUUAUAACAUUUUUUGAAAAACUUAAUUGUUUAAUUAUGAAAAAAAUGUAAUUUUUAAUUUUUAAUUAUUAACUAUUAUAUAUAUGUUUUAAAAAACUUAAUUGUUUAGUUUUUUAAAAAAUGUAAAUUUUAGUUUUAAUUAUAAAUUAUUCGUAACACUAAAAACUUAAGAUAAUAUUGAAUUUAAUUAUCUUAAUUUUAUUUAAUUAUAUUGGAACUAGGCAUUAAUUUGAAAUAUUUGAUUUAGAGUCGAUGGUUUUAUGAAAUUAGAAUUAAUUAAAUAUUUGUUGGUUGAAUAUUUAGUUCAUUAGCCAAAUUGGAUUUUUGGUGUUGUUGAGAUUGAAUUUAAUUAAAUAACUUUGAUGUUUAUUUAAUUACAUUGAAGGUAAUUGUAAUGGAUGGUCAUUUGAGGAAUAAUAAUUAAGGAUAUAGCAACAUUUAAAAAAAAUUGCAAAUAUAACAAAACUAUCGCUGAUAGACUUGUAUCAUUGAUAGACUCGUAUUAUCUAUCGGUGAUAGACCAAUUUUUACAACAUGGUCUAUCAGUGAUAGAUUCUAUCAUUGAUAGAAUUUGACAAAUUUUGUUAUAUUUGCAAUUUUUUUUUAAAUGUUGUUAUAUACUUAAUUAUUUUGAAUUUAAUUGUUAAAUUUGCAACUAUCCCUAAACAUAAAUAUAUUUGUGGAAAAAUAGUUUUUGUGGAAGAUAAUUAAUUGUGUGGGAAAAGAUAAAUAUUGACUAUGGACAGAUUUAUAUGAUUGGGUAUAUAAGAAAAGAUAAUAAAUUAGAUUUAUUUAAAAGAAAAAUUGAUAAUUAUAUAUUUGAAUAAUAUUAUCAAGAAAAUAAAUGUAACCUCCCAAAUGAGGUUUUAUUAAUUAUUUGGGUGUUAUAUUAAAGAUUGGAGCUAAAAAUUAAUUAUUAGGUUAAGAUAAUUUAUGAUAUUUUAAAAUAACUAAUUUAUUAGAGAAGAUUGGGUUAGUUAAAAGGAUUGAUGUUUUGAGUUAAUUUGAAAUAUUGAAAGGAAAAAUUGGUUAUGAUAGCAUUCGAAUUAAUUAAGUAUAUAUACGUGGAUAUAUAUAAUUAAUUAACAAUUUAGAUUUUGGUAGAAUAUAAUAUUAAUUAUUUGGUUUUGUAUAAAUAAUUAAUAUGAAAACACAAAGUUAAUUAUACGAUGAAAUAUAAUUAUAGUUCUUGAAAAAUAAGAUAAUUAAUGUGAAGAGAAUGUUGAUUUGAUUGAACAAGAAAAGAUGAUAUAUUUAAUUAGGGAGAGAAUAAUGAUUUAAAUAAAUAUGUUUAUCAAGAGAACAACAAUAAUAAAUUAUUAUUAUUGUUAUUAUUAUUAUUAUUUGUUAUAAAUGCCUAAGAUUUUGUGCACUUAAGAAAUUUGUUGGAGAAACAUAAUGGAAAUAAAAAUAUAUGUAUAUAGUGGUAUUAUAUAUACAUAUCCUAAAAUAAAAAGAAAAUAAUAAUGAUAAAUAUUAUUAUUUGGGUGUAUAAAUAGCGUUGGAAUGCUUAAAUUGAUAAAAGAAAUAAUAAUAAAAAAACAUUCAUCUUCUUCACUAAGUUUAUUAUUGGAAUUGAUUUUGGUUGCAUGGCUUUGAAGGUUCCUUUCACAAAACUUGAAGAUUCUACCUCACUUUUAGAAUCAAAUUAAUUGAAGAAUUGUUAGUAUUUAAUUGAAAAAUUGUUAGUAUUUUGUUUGGAUUAUUAGAUAUGGAAAGAGAAAGAUUUAAUGGAUUUGAAAAUAAGUGAAUAAAAAAAGAAAAGGAAAGAUAAAUUAAUAAUAUAAUUAAUAAUAGUCAUCCUAAUAGACUUGAGAUGGAUAUCUCAUUUGAAUAACUAUACUAAUCUUUAUAACAAGACACAUGAAUUACUUCUUAAUAUUACAAUUAAUUUAGAGAUAGAAGUCUUUGUGUUCUCUAACAUGGAAUUAGAGAGUCCAUGAAACUCAAUCUGAGUGUACAUUAAAAUACUUAUUUUAAGAGAUUCAAACUUUUAACUUUUAAAAGAUCGAUACUUGUUAAUUAUGAUUGAGCUAUACUUACUUUAAUAAAAAUAUUCAAAUAAUAUAUUAGCAAAAAAAUAUUAGAACUUGAUUUAAAUUCCAUGUCAUUAAUUUUAAAUAUAGUUUUAGUCUCUAUACCACUUAAAAAAAAGUCAUAGAUUUAGUAUUUAUACUAAAAUACUUUUGCUAUUAUUAGCAUUUUUACUCAAUAUUUUGAAACAUAUUCUCAUAUUAUAUUUCCUCGUGAAACUAUUAUUAUUAUUUAGUGAAGUCCAAUUAAAAAAUUAACUAAGAAUGACUAAUUUAAUAUUUAUUAAAAUAUAUCGACUAAAAUUGAAAAUUAGAAAAAACAAUGACUAAACUUGAAGAAAACUGGAAGUACAUAAACUUAAAAAUAUCCUUAAAAAGAACAAUUACAGGUAUUUUCAAAUAUAGCAAAAAUGAACCAAACUGUUAACAAAAUAUAGUAAAAUUUUAGAUCUAUCAUUCUUGUCUAUACCUGAUAUUAAUAGACUUCUUGAAAUCUAUUAACAUCUAUCGUCAUAAAAAUCUGAAAUAUAUAUACGAAUCAUUUUUCUAUUUACAUAAUAAUAGUUCUCCAUCUCAUUACCUAGAAUGAAGGUAAACAAAAGAAAGAUAGCAUGAAAACAAGCUCUAGUGAAACGUGCACCAUUAAACUCACUAUUCAUCUUCUCCUUCCUUUGCAACCCUAGAUGUCACCCACGCUUCUUCUCCAUCACUGUCUACUAGUUUUGCUUCUCGUUGUCGUCCGUAAGCAUUCUGACGAAGCUGAACACACUCCCACGUCCAUUUGGCCGAAACAUUUGUUUCGAAAGCUAAUCUUCUCGGUUAAGUCGGUGUUCUCCUCUAUUUGUGACUUGUUCCAUUGAAGUUCCAGUCUACCUUUGCCAACCAAACGCUGAUCAAGCGCAGACGAAACCACUGGUUACCAUAUUCAGGCAUUUAGAAUAAAAUAAUAAAUAAAUAUUUGCUAACUCAAAAUUUUCAUUUAACAUAAACGUACUAUGAUAUACUAUUAUUUGUGUUUAUCUUUCAUCAUAUACACAUAUAAUAAUUUAUCAAAAACUAUCAUUGGUAUCCUAUGAUAUUUUAUUAUAUUGAAAAUGUUAAUUUUCAUAUCUUGUUCUAUCUUUUUUAUGUUCUAAUUUAAUCAAUAAUCUUUAUAGACUAUCUUUUUUUCAAUAAACUAGGGUUGAAAAUUUAGAAUAUAUUGUAAAAAAUAAGGCACAAUAACAAAAACACACAGAAAUUGAGAAAAUGUAAUAUUAAAAUAAUUAAAAUAUGAAAUAUAAAUAAGUUGUCAACAAAAUCCACUUUCUUCCAUUUCUUUGAAUAUUUCACCAAUAUUUGUAACUUACAAUAUCCAUCAAAUGUCACUAUAAUUUGUAGGCAAUUUGACAAGUAUGAGGUGGAUUACAUGGCCACUUAGGGUUUGAUAUAUCUACAAGGCACAUGACAAAGGUAUUGGAUGUGGAAGCGAAGGACGCAUGACAUGCAAGGAUACUAAGCAUAAUAGAUAAUAGGCACCUAUUUUACUAAUAUUCAUAGUACUCCACCUUAGACGUCUAUUAUAUAUUUGAAAUAUGUCUCGUUAAAAUUUUACUAGGAAAAAAUUCAAUGUAAAAAACCACAGUGAAGGGAAAAAGUACAUAUUGUAUAUAAUUUAUACACUUACAAAAAUACAAUUUACUCCACUUUAUGAAAACAUCACUUAAGAUCUUUAAGAUGUCGCAUCCAAUGUUGUACACCAAUUUUUCAAAAGUUACACUAGGUAAUAAUUUUGUAAAUAAGUCUGUUAGUUUAUCCUUUGAACAAAUUUGUUGUAUUGUGAUGUCGCUAUUUUCUUCAAGAACACGAGUCUAGAAAAGCUUUUGUAAAAUAUGCUUUGUUCUAUCGCCUUUAAUAUUAACCUCUUUUGGUUUGAGUGAUACAUGUUGUGUUGUCUUUGCAUAAUAUUGUUGGAAAGAUUUUUACUAGAAGACAACUCACUGUUCCACGAAUGUGCUGAACCAUUGAUCUUAUUCAUAUACACAUUAUCGGCUUGCCUCGUGCAUUGGAAGAAUUUCAACAUGAUUUUGAGAAUAUGACUGUUUUGGUUUGUUUCAUUGAUUGUCAUGAUCUAUAGUAGUUUCUCCACACAUGAAUAGAUAAUCUGUUUGAGAUCUAGUUUUCUGUUGAUAAAAUAAAUAUCCAAAAUCUACAAAACCAACUAAGUGAAAAUUUAAUUUAUUUGAAUACAACAAACUCAUAUCAAUCAGUUGUUUCUCCGAGAUAACGGGGUAUAUGCUUAUUUCCAUUUUAAUGUCUUUUUGUAGAGCUUUUUGACAAUUGUCUCCACAUCAGAUUCGAACCAAACAUUAGAAUACCCUAACCUUUCAACCAACAACAACACGACCAAAAUGGCCAGAAUCCCCCCCCCCCCCCCCCUUCCCCAACAACCUCUACUCAAUCAUUGCGGAUCACAACACCAUACUAGAUACCUUACAUAUUUGGGUUGCACACCACAUCCACAUUUAGUUUGAGACACCCACAUAAUGACAUGAUCCCAUGAUCCAUGAUCAAAGGGUGAUGUCCUCUUUGAUUGAAGCAGCACCCAAGCUGGCCGAUGCGACAAAUCGAACACCCAGGGGUUUUUAACUUGCACCUAACGCGCUCAAGAUCUCAACAAGGUACAACUCCAACAAGUUAAUCUUCUCCUCAACAGGGGUGUUGGCAACGACACGUGUAAUUUAUUCUUAUCCUCGCCCAAAUAUCCCAACAAACAAAACCAAAUAUCAGAAAAUUCGCAGCAGACAACUUCUCAAUAAAGAACACAAAAAGGUCUCGAAGUGGGCUACCUGACCAUCUAUCAGUCAAGAUCAAAGGUAGGCAUCUCAUUCAAAAUUCAUUAGCUGUAGUUUUCAAACAUAGCAAAAUGAAGCAAAAUUUUUAAAAAUACAGUAAAAAGUCAGUGUUUCAUCACCAAUAGACAUUGAUAGACGAUGACACCGAUAUACAUCAUUUAUCAAACAUCAAUAGAUAGUGACAUUUUGAUAUAUUUACGAAUAUUUUAACAAAUUUAUAAUUGUUUUAUUCAUUAUUUAUUUUAUUAAACAUGUUAAACGUUUAAGAUUUUACCACAAUUAUUAUUUUGGAUAUAGGAAAAACCAACCUCAAACAAAUGCUUAGGCAUAUAUUCUCGUGUAAAAGGUGAAGGUUGGAAUUUAACCCUUAAAUACCGUUUGAACUAAAAAAGAUAUUAAAUCUAUCAUCUUUAUAUCAAAAUGACUGUAAAUAUUAAAAUAAAUAAAGUGAGAAACAGAGGUUAAUUUUUAUUAGUUGAUAAGUUGCAUCAACUUCCAAUUUUAUUAAAUUGGGAAGCAAUUUUCAUUGUCUAUUCAAUUUUCAAUAAUUCAAAAAAAGAAAACAUUUCUAAAUUUAAAUACGAAACGCUCAUUAACUUCAAUUAAAAAAAAUAGCACACAUUGAUCAUUAUAAUCUAAAUAAAACUCAUAAAUUAUUGUUUUUUGAAAAAAGAAAGAAAAAGAAAAAAAGAAACGAAACUUUUUAGUAUAUGUCAUUUUCUUGAAUUUCUUCCACACCAACCUCUUUAAAUUGAUUAACUAACACUUGAGAAUAUCUUUUUUAAAAUACUUUAUUAAUGUGAAAAUUUCUGAAAUUUAAAGUCUAGGAAACUUAAUUAAAAGUUUAACAUAAAAAAUUGCAAUAUUCCUUUCAAGUUUAAAUUUAUAAAAUUAGAAAUUUAAUUAGUUUCGAUAGUAUGAUAUUUGUGAUUUUGAUAUUUAAAGAAUAAGACGUGUUUGAUAAUCGUUUCUUAUUUUUCGUUUUCAAAAUUUUAAAAAUGUUUCUUAAAAUUAGACAAAAAUAGAGAAAUUAUGGAAUGAAAAACAGUUUAAUUUAGCUUUAUUUAUUAAUCUUCAUUUAAUAAAUUUAGCUUCAAACUAGGUUUCACUACCGUGUGCCAUUAAUUGGUGUCAAUACAACGAAUUGGACAGAGGAACGGUCAACAAACAUAAAUGCAAAAAAAAAAAAACUCAAAUAAUAUUUUUUUUAUGAAAAAAAAAUUGUCGUCACAUAAGUCAAAGAUUUUUGUUCAUAGUAUCUCAUGAAAGUAUUGGGUGAUUAGCAAUUUACGACUGUUUGACGAGAAUGAGAUCACCUUUAAAAAUCUUGAAAAAGUAAAAAAGUGACAAUCGAUGUUUAAAUGUUAUUUUAAUUAAUAAAAUUCACAUAUUUAUUUAUACUAUUUAGGUUUUUAAAAUUUUUGUUUCAACUUCUAAACUUUAUAUAUUUUAGUUAGAAUUUUUAAUAAAUUUUAAUAAUUUUAAUUCUAAUAUGAUAAUAUAUGAAUUGUUUAUAAAAAAAAAUUUGUUAGUUUUGAUGUGAUUUUCUCUCCCUUUGAAAAAGAGAUUAAUUCUUUUAUACAUCCCUUUCUAUGAAAUUUUAGCCAAUUAAAUUUUGUCACAUCAUCACAACAAAUAAUGUGAUAAUUAUCUUUUUUUUUAUUAGAUUUUGGAUAAUUAAGUUUAUUCAAUCAAAUCUAAUUCAGGUCCAAUAAACAAAUUGGCUCAAGCCCAAAUCCACCAAAAAAUGUGUCAAAUUCUAAACACAAGCCUAACAGGCAAAUGAGUUCAAGCUCAAGCCCAACAGACAAAUGGAUCCAAGUCCAAAUCCAACAAGCAAAUAGGUCCAAGCCAAAUAGAUAAAUGGGUCCAAGCCCACCUAAAGCCCAUGAAGUUUCUCUAUAAAUAGAGACUUGCCACUCAUUUAAGAGGAUCAUUGGUUGAAGGAAGAAUUUAACUAUAACCAUUAAUAUAUCAAACUUUAAUUCCACGAAAUAUAUUUCUUCGAAAUCGUGUGUGAACACAUACCAAGACAAAUGUGUAAAUGUUUGAAUAAUAUAUGUCAACAAAAAUAAAAUGUUUAAUUUGAAUGAGAAAGUUGAUGAAAAUAAUUUCAAAGUGUAGCAAAAUGGUAAAAUCACCUUAUAUUAAAUUAAACGAUCAAAACUAAACGAUUGUAUAGGAAAGAAUAGCUAAAUCUAAACGAUCAUUUAUCAAAUAUAUUAUGCGCGUUGGGUGACAAUUAAAUGACAGAGCAUUUUUUGUAUUUUCCAUCAUAGACCUAUGGACUUUUUUAGUAUAGUGUAAAUAUUUUAACGCUUAAUUAUAUUUUUUAAAAGAUCCCCUUAAAAUUUUACUUCUUGGGGAGUUUGGCGUGCAGGUUCAGAAUCAAAUGCCUGAGAAUUAAAUGACGGUGGGCUUAUUUGAUGGGGUUCCGAUACGUGAGAAUUACAGAUGCCUGUGUUUGGGGUACAGAAAUUGUGUGCAAGAAUUGAUAAUUAUAAUUUCUAAUGUUUGUGUUUUUAGGCUUAGUUAAUCUUUUUUUUCUUUUUUUUGUCAAUUGUACAAUCUAAAUUUAUCAUGUACAUAAUAUUUAAUUUAUAUUUUUUAAUACUUUGUACAUAUAAUUCAAUUUAUUGAUUUAUUGAUUUUCAUGACAAUAAUAUAAAACAAAAAAACUUAACAUUCAAUAACAAUAAUUUUGAUUACAGUUGCAUUAACAUGAAUGGUCUAAUUAGGAAUAUUACAAACUAUUCACAAAAUAUAACAAAUUAUGUAAUCGGAUGAAGUUUACAAAAAAUUCAAGCAAAGCAUUAAAAAGCGUCUAAUAGCUAAAUUUCAAAAUAAGCAUAACAAAAGGGUAAUGCAAAAGCAAAAGUGAAGUAGAAUUUAGUGAUAGUUAUGGUUGCCUUCCUAUGAUGCAUGUGCAAUAUAAUUUUUAAACUUAAACUGCUUUUAUCAAAAAAGUUUUAAAAUCCAAAUAAGUCCUAGGUUUUCUAGUUAAAGUGACCAAAGAAAAAAAUAAAAAAUGUAUAUUUAAAUCCUAAAUUUUGUACGCUAGAUAUAACAUACUCUUAAAUUUUAAAAUUACGUAGAAUAAUGUGUUUUAAAAUCUAAUUAUGUGUCAAAUAUAUUCAAAUUUUAAGCUUUUGCCAUUUAUUUUCUUCAAGUUUUACUCGAGAAGGGGAUUCAUAUUUUUCAUAUACAAAAAUUGAUAAAACAAAGAUGAGAAGUAAAGUUCUAAUGUGUUCAUUUAUUUUUAUUCUUUCAAUCAAAAUGUACCAUUUUUUAUUUUUUAUUUGAGUAAGAAAUAAAAUCUUUUUAUUUAUAUAUAUAUAUAAAACAAGAAAUUUUAUAUUUAUUCACUUAAAACAAUAAGAAUUUACCUUAACCAUUUUGACUAAAAAAUCUUAUUUAAUACAUAAAAGUACAAACAAAUUUUUAAUCUUUUUUUCCUUAAACCAACUUAAAUUAUUUCAAUCUUUAAUUUAUUUGACUUGUCAUCCAAAAUUAUAGUAAUAAUUUUAAAAUGGAAAUGAAAUUACUAGUUUAAUUUUGAGAACUAAAAUAAUUUUUUUUUUAAAAAAAAACCCUUCAUUUACCUUACGUUAAGCCCAUAGUUUUAAGUCAUGGGCCAAACAAAUGCCAAACCCACCUGAUGCCAAGUCCGGGGUCAAACACCCUCUUAUUUAUUUUAUUUUAUGAAUAAUUGCAAAUUUAUUAAUUAGAUUUAAAAUAAUUAAGUAUAUAGUAACAUUUUAAAAAAUUUGCAAAUAUAGCAAAAUUUGUCAAAUUCUAUCAAAGAUAUAAGUUUAUGUUGCAAAUAUUGGUCUGAUAGAUUAUACGAAGUCUAUAAGCGAUACAAGUCUAUCAGUGAUAAUUUACUAUAUUUACAAUUUUUUUUAAAUUUUGCUAUAUCCUUAAUUAUUGUUAGUGAAAUGGUUAUCUAUUGCAAUUUUUCUUUAUUUUAACUGAGUUCAAUAAUAGAAUCAACAAAUUAUAGUUUAGUUUAAUCACAGUUUUUUUAGUACAUCAAACAAAUGUAAAAGAAACAAAAGGAAAAGAAAAUUAAGAACCAAGUAAAUUAGAAAGAAGGGCAAAGUCUACCCAUAGAGUGAUCUUGAAGUCUCAAAGCUAAGUACUGAGACCUUCGAGGGUAACAAAAUUACACCUUCAGUCGGCAAAAUAAAAAUAUGGAAAAAAUCAUGAAAAUAGAAAUUGCAUAUGGCAUGGAGGCUUGAACCUUAUUCGAGUAUUCACAAUUUUCAACUGAUUAAUACAAAAGAAUUUUAGAAUCUAGUUCAAUCAAAAACGGAGAAAUACCAUUAAACAUGGCCUUAGGGAGCUCUUCCAAUCCCGUCAUAGCGAAGUGAAUUCUCAUAGCAAGUAGAACAGCACCGUUCAUGUUAUGAACAAUGGAUCUGAUGUCCAUUUCACCAUUCUAGAAACACAACGUUAGAGUUUAGCUUAAAAGUGUCAAUGGGAUAGGCACCGUCGGAAAAAAAAAACCUUCAUCAACUAGGAGAUAUCUAAUUAGCCAUAUGACAUAAAAAGAAGUAAUAAGAGAAGGAGAAUGAGCGAAAUAUGAUGAUAUUCACAAGUAAAGGACAUUCCUUUUAUAAAGGGAAAUCAUUUAAAACAAAAAAGCCUAACCUUUACAACCGUAAAACUAAAUGUAUAAUGGGCUUUGUAUUGGGCUCAGUGGAUUGUCUUAAUAUCCCCUCGCCCCCUCCCCUCAAGUCAAUGUCUACAGCAUGUGUAACACCCAAUUUUACUUGGAGUGGAAUGAAGGAAUGUGCAGAUAAUGGCUCGGUCAAAAUCUCUGCAACUUGAGUCGUUGCUGGAAGUUGAUGUUGGAUUGCAAUCUUGUUUUUGUAGAACAAGGUUUCUUAUAAAGUAUAUGUCUAGCUCAACAUGUUAUGUUCUUGAGUAUUGGAUUGGAUUUGCACUUAGAUGAACAACUCCAAGAUUUUCACACCAGAGUACCAGUGAUUUUGGUAGAUGGAUCUUUAGUUCUUUGAAAAGGGAGGCUAGCCAUAUAAGUUCUAUGGCUGCGUUUGCAAGGCAAGGAAAUUCUGCUUUGGUGUUUGAUCUAGAUACAAUAUGUUUUUUUUCAUCCCCAAGUAAUAAAGUUGCCACCAAAGUAUACACAUAUUCUAGAAGUAUAGUAUCUAUCAUCAGGAUUUGAUGGCUAGUUGACAUCAGCAAAGGCUUGAACUAUGAAAUUUCUUGGUUUCUUUAGUAGCAGUCUAUGCUUAAUGUUCUUUUGAGAUUUUGAACGAUUCUUUUCACUGUUUGCCAAUGGGAUAGUUUUGGAUUAUGCAUAAAAUGAUAGAUACAGUUUACUGAGUAAGCUAUUUAAGGCCUUGUGUGUUGGUGGCAUAUUGUAGGACUACUACAAUGCUUAUGUAUAUGUGGGAUUCCUUUCAAAAUUUUCAUUGCCUUUUGAUGAUAUAAUAGAAAAGCUAAUCAUAGAGAUUGCAGUAGGGUUUGCAUCAAACAUCUCUGUUCUUUGUAGUAUUUCUACCAUGUAUUUUUCUUGAGAUAGGAAUAGUCCACUAGUUUGUGGAUAGGUGACUUCUAUUCCCAAGAAGUAAUUGAAUUUUCUAAGGUCUUUCAAGGAGAAAGUGACAUUCAUUUAAGAGAUUAGUUUGUCAAUAUCAUGAUUUGAAAAACUAGUGAUAAUAAUGUCUUCUACAUAUAUCAGAAUGUAGUAGGAGGUGUGAUUUGUCAGUCUUGUAAACUGUGAGCAAUCAAGUUUUGAGUUUGUGAAUCCUUCGAAAAGUAGGAAGGUUUUUAGUCUCUUAAAUCAUGCCCUUGAAGCUUGUUUUAAGUACUUUCUUUAGUUUGUACACUAAUGGUUUCAUGUUGCACUCAAUGGUGAAGCCAAUUGGUUGUUUCAUGAAUACUUCCUCCAUUAGAAUGUCAUGACGGAAGGCAUUGUUUAUGUCUAAUUUUCGAAUUUGCCAGUUGUGCACAAGAACCAUAGUUAGUAUUACUAGAAUGAUUUUAAGUUUUACAACAGUAUUAUAGGUUUAUAAGUAAUCUAUGUCUGUUGUUUGGUGAAAGCCUUAAGCUAGUAACCAUGUUUUGUACCUUGAGAUAGAUCCAUUCAAGUUUUAAUUUACUUUAAAUACCCAUUUUGAGCCAAUUAUUUUCAUGUUAUAGAACAUAGGAACUAAAUCCCUGUUGUUUCUCAUUAGGGCUUUAUAUUCAUCAUUCAUUGCUUCAACCGAAUGAGGGUAUUUUAAUGCUUCUUUGGUUGAUUGAGGUUCUUAGAUCUCAUGUGUUGUUUCUCAUUACAGCUUUAUAUUCAUCAUUCAAUAAUUCAACCCAACAACGGUAUUUUAAUGCUUCUUUGGCUGAUUGAGGUUCUUUGUUUAAUUGUGUGAGGUAAGCUUUUGGCUCUAGGAUGUCAUUCUUUGAUCAUGUAACCAUUUGAUGUACGUUAGUAGUUCUGUAAGUUUGUGAUUAUGGAAUACGAUAUGAAUCUAGAAAUCAGAAUUGAAUCAAAUGAAGAAGUUGAAAAGAUGCAAUGCUUAGAAGUUAAAGAGUUAUUUGGACAACUCAAAAGUCAUAAAAUUAAAUGUUGUGACCUUUCAUUUCAUAUUUUAAUUAGCAUAAAUAGGGUUGUAAUUUCCACAUUUAAGAAAGAAAAUUUUGGAUGAAUGAAAUAUGAAAAUUCUAUAAUGUAGAAUUUUGUUUUUGUGUAUUCAUGUGAUAGAAUGCACAAAUAUUUGAAGCAUUCAAGUGAGUAUUGAUCUGUCUUUCUUUUGGUGUGCUUUGAAGAUCAUGGGUUGAUGGGAGUUUCUAACUCCGUUUGAUCCUUGGUUUCUUAGAUUAUCUAAGCAAUCUGUAUCUAGCCUAUCUUAGGGGUUGAAAUAAAAUUGGUUUUUGAAAUCAAAGGGGAAGACAUGUUCAUCAAAUAUUAUAUGUCUAGAGACAAAGACUUUACCGGAUAAAUCUAGACAUUUGUAUCCUUUAUGGUUAGGGUUGUACCCAAAAAAUAUGUAGGGAUCUGAUAUCAUUUGUAAUUGUGAUGAUUAUUAAGUUUAAGAAAUGAAAAGUAGAGGCAGCCAAAGGUUUUUAGUGAGGAGUAGCCUGAUGUUACUUUGAAUAGAGUUUCGAAGGAACUUCUUCCACGAUGGACAUCAAAUGCACUACAAGAAAUUGAGUUUUUAGUGGCACAAAAAAAACUUUACUAAAAGGAAAAGUGUUGCUAAAAGUAUUAGUGACACAGUGUUAUUCAUCGCUAGGACUAUUGUUGUAUCCGUAUAGCUAAAAGUUUCAGCGGCGCACCAAUUGUGCGCUGCAAAAAAUGUACUUUUAGUGAUAUUUGCACGUUACUAAAUGCUUACUUUUAGUAACAUAUAUUUUGUCACUAAUUGUUUUUUUAUAGUGACAUAGCACACUCGCCACUAAAGAUGAUGUUUUAGUGGCAAAUAAUGUUGUUGCUAAAGGUUAAUUUUUAUCAUUACAACAUCUUUUGAGACGUAUUGAGGUGUGCCAUUAAAAAUUCCUAUAGUUUUUUAGUUUAAAAAACCAAUGCUUUUUCAACGUUAUUGAAAGUGCCAAUAAAAGUAUUUUACUAAAUAAAAAACGCAAUAUCCAAUUUAUUAUAUAAACCUAUUAUAAAAUGUCAUAUAAUAAUCUUAGGAACUAUCACCAAGAAACAUGCAAUAACACCAACUUUAUCACAAGAAACUUUGAUAAUUUCAUAAAUAGUUCGAGCAAUGUCAACCUAAGUUAUAAGUAUGAAGUUACGUCAAGUAAAUGAAUGUCCAAAGUUAGUUCAAAAGUUAUAAGUAUGAAAUUACAUCAAGAAGUUACAUUUGUGCAAAAGUAUUGUGCAUAACAAAAAUUUCUAAAGUCUGGAAGCAUGAAUUUAAAUGAUCUUUCCUAACAAAAUUAUAGGAUACAAACCAAAAACUCUUUUCAUAUUCAUCUGAAGUCAAUAUCAAAAUCUUGUAUAAAAGACCAUUUGUGCGUCAAAUCUUAAAUGUGUAACAUAACAAAAUAAAUAAGUAAAACAUAUAAGCAAAAAAUAAAACUUAGACACUUUAAAUAUGACACUACUCAAAUGGAUGAAACUCAAACAUUCUAAGGUAUCAAAGAUAUAUAGCACUAGAGAAAGUGUCUUUGUAAACAGCACCGUUCAUGUUAUGAACAAUGGAAACAAAAAAUAUCUUUGUAAUAAAUUCUUUCACUAGAGAGAAUCGUUAUAGUCCUUCAUGAAGACGUCCUUGGAGUAAAAUUUUCUCAGUUACCUAAGACUUAACAAAGCAGACCAUUGGUUGGAAUUCAAAGAAACAAUAGUUAUCUUUUUGUAAACUGACUUACACUUGGAGAUUUUUCUUUAUGUGUGGAACAUGAAGAAUCUUUGGUAUGAAGAUAAUAGGACAAUCAUUAUCAUAAGAAAUUAAAAUAUCAUAUGGAAUAAAGAACGAAUUGUCUGGAGUUUAUGAUUUUCAAACUUGUUCCAUCACCAACAUGGACUUGUUCUAGUCCACUGUAGUUUGUGCUGAAGCUGAGGUUAACAAGGUCAUUUACGAUAUGAUUAAUUAAUGGCACCAGUGUCUGGAUAUCAUCCAUUGCUAUUGUUGUCUUGUGAGGUUGAACCCAUGUUUGUUUAAUGAGGACUGUUCUUGAAAUGAUUUUGAUUAUUGAACCUUGGCAUUCCAUGUGGAGUAUUACUAGUAAACUAUUUCUAGAAGUUAGGGUCAUAUAGAGAGUAACAUCUCAAGGCUGUAUGGCCAAAUUUUCCACAGAUUUGACACCGUGGUUUGGAAUUAUUCCAAGGUUUUCUUCCUCUUCCCCGAUUUCCAAUAUUGUUAUUAUUUCUUCCUCAAAUGUUAUUGUUGCUAUUUUUCCACUGGUUUCAUUGACUUUGCCCUUGAUUUCUUUUAUCUUAAUUUGGAGGAAAGUUUGUCGGGUUCUUAUCAAUAUUUCCAUAAACAAGAUUUGCAUAGGUUGAGUACCAUUAGUAUUUACUAGUGAGUUUCAUUCGAGUCUGCCUUCAUGACUAAGAAGAAGUAAGAUAAUUUUUUUGUAGUGGUUUUGACUUGGAUUUUGUAAAUAUCACUAAGACUAUAGUCAUAUUUUGAUUCCAAUCAUGAGAGAAUAUAUACAACGUGUGUCCUUGAAAAGAGAUAUGACAACCUACCUCAUUCAAGGCUAAAACAAGAUUUUUCACCUUUGUUGUGUAGUCUUUAAUCGAUUAAUUUCCCUUCUUUAUGUUUUGCAGUUGUUCCUUUAGUUACAUAAUCUUGGUUGUGUGUUUGAUGUGGAGUAAGUUUGUUCAAGUGAGUCAACCAGAUUUCUCUUGUUAUAUUACACCAAAUCAUUUGGGUGACUAUGUCUUCAUUCAUCGAUCCCAUUAACUAAGAGUAGAUUAAGCGAUCUUGUCGCAUCCAACUGAGGUACUCGAGGAUACCAAUCAAUUCUUCUCUAUUAGUGUUUCUUGCGGAACUAGUUUAUGCAUUUUCAGUGUUUCUUUCAAUUAUAAUGUUGUUCAACCUCUUCUUUUCUAGUUGCAAAUCAUUGAGGAUAUGCUCUUCCAAGGAGUGCCAAGUUUCCAGGUAAGAUGGUUGUUGUCAUUGAGUUUAAUCACUGCAAGAUGGUGCCCUGGGUAGAUUAUCACAGAGUUGUUCUUCAAGGAAGAAGAUGCUUCAUUGUUUAGAGUUGAAUUUGAGGAGGUCAUUGCUAUGGGGGGAGGCCUCUAAUAUCAUAAAAGAAGUAACAAGAGAAGCAGAACGAGGGCAGCAAGAAGUAGGGGUGUACAAAUAUGGGUUAAACCCGAAUAACCCGAACUACCCAACCCAUAUUAUAAGGGUUGGAUUGGGUUAGGUUAAAAUAUGGGAUGGGUUGGGUUAAAAAAAUUUGAUUUUUUCGGGUUAAGUUGGGUCUCGGGUUGGAGGGUUUAAAAAUUCGGUUCAACCCAACCUAACCUGAAUUAAUAUAAUAUAUAAAUAUAUAUAUUAUUUUAAUAAAGAACAAAUUAGAGAUAUAUAAAUUUUGAAUUUAUUGUAUGAAAGUUUGAAUUAUGUAGGUUUGAAAUUUAAAUGUAACAAUUUCAAACUUUUAUAACCCUUAGAAACUAGAAAACAAAAAAAAAAAAUUUAAAAAUAUUUUUAUAUGCAACCUGACAACCCAACCCUACUCAUAUUUUACGGGUUGGGUUGGGUUGAGUUAAAAACUAAAUUCAGGUUAUUCGGGUUGCCAAUCCAUAUAACCCGAAAAUAUGGGUUGGGUUGAGAACGUCUCCCAACCCAACCCAACCUAACCCGAUUUCACUCCUAGCAGGAGAAGGAAAAGUUUGGAAAAGUUCUAAUGAUUUUAUUCUCUAUAUUCACAUGUCCAUAGAAGUCUAUCAAUAUUGUUGAUCAAAAUUAUGCACUAAAUUUCAUCGUCCAUCAGACAAAAUAUAAAAUAGGAUUGAUGAGAUCAUAAAAAUUAGAAGGUUGAGUCAGACCAAAUAGUAGAAGCAAUGAGCGAAAGUAUUUUGAUAUCCAAUGAAUUCAGAACAUCUUUAAGACGUUAUAGUAAGAGGUGCUAAGUUAACAUUCAAAGAAAAUCGUAUCACAUGAGAGAACUAUAGUGAUAUUUCCAUAACUACAAUUGACAAAAUGAAAACAUAGAGAUUACUUCAAACAAAAUUCAUUCUUUUACUCGCUUUUAUGAUCAUAACUUGAUUCAAUUUGCAUACGAAAUUGGUUUGUAUAAAAUUACAAAUAGAUAAAUUAAGACACGGGCGCCCACAUGAACACAAGCGUAUAAAGGAAGAAAAACCAAAAUCAUAAACCAAAGAAAGAAAGAAAGAAAGAAAGAAGAAAUGAAGGCCAAGUAAGAAGAGACAAAAAUAAUAGAGACAGUGAUGGAAGAAGAGACACAAAAAGCCAAGAAAAUGAGAGGAGCUGAAUGAAGUGCAAACAACACUCAAACAAAAUGACAAUAUAUGUAGUAAUAAUAUUCAUAAAACCCAUCAUUGUAUAUUUUGUGAACAAAAAAAAUCCAUUUCCACUCAUUUUAAACUUUCAGUAUAACUCAUGAACUGUCAACCGAAGCAAACCAAAAUAAACUUUUACUACUUAAUCAAUUUGAAUGUUUAGUAGAUUUUAAUUUUUAAGCAUAAACAGUUAAUGCAUAUGUUUCACUCCUACAUUAUAUUUUCAAAUUAACAUAUAUCAAAAAAAAAAUGCUAAAUUUAAUCGAAUCAUUUUUUGAAAGCUAUUGUAAUUUAAAAGUUGGUGGAAAAAACGAACCUCUAACCUAAAUUUUUAUCUUUUUCAUUUCUACGCGGUUGUAUAAAUACUAAAGAAAGUCAUAUAAUAUUUUUACUUAGCUAUUUUGGUAGGAUUUAAAGAGAAGAUUAAAUUUAUUUAAGUAAUUUUAAAUUUAUUUUAUAUUAAAUUAAAUGAAAGUAAGUUAAACGAACGUAACUCAAUUGGUAUAAUAUUUAUAUUAUUAAUCACAAUGUUAGAAUUAGUUUGCCUCCCCCACAUAUUAUAAAAAAAUGAAAAAUUUAGAAAAGGAAGGUUUGCUUAUGAGUUAAAAGGGUAAAAGCUCUUCUUGAAACUUUAAAUCGGAUAAGAAGUAGAUGUAUGAUUUUUGAGGAGAAGUCAAAUGUCACUUUAUAUUGAAAAACCUAUAUAUAUAAAUG